Molecule: ribosomal RNA, 467 nt
Filed under: uncultured bacterium
Lineage: Bacteria
Description: partial 16S ribosomal RNA
Rfam family: Bacterial small subunit ribosomal RNA
Source: RNAcentral
ACGCACGCUGGCGGCGUGCUUAACACAUGCAAGUCGAACGGAAAGGCCCUGCUUUUGUGGGGUGCUCGAGUGGCGAACGGGUGAGUAACACGUGAGUAACCUGCCCUUGACUUUGGGAUAACUUCAGGAAACUGGGGCUAAUACCGGAUAGGAGCUCCUGCUGCAUGGUGGGGGUUGGAAAGUUUCGGCGGUUGGGGAUGGACUCGCGGCUUAUCAGCUUGUUGGUGGGGUAGUGGCUUACCAAGGCUUUGACGGGGAGCCGGCCUGAGGGGGUGACAGGCAACAUUGGGAGUGAGAUGCGGCCCGGACUCCUACGGGAGGCAGCAGUGGGGAAUGUUGCACAAUGGGCGGAAGCCUGAUGCAGCAACGCCGCGUGCGGGAUGACGGCCUUCGGGUUGUAAACCGCUUUCGCCUGUGACGAAGCGUGAGUGAAGGUAAUGGGUAAAGAAGCACCGGCUAACUACGGG